GAUGAAGAACGUAGCGAAAUGCGAUACGUAAUGUGAAUUGCAAAUUCAGUGAAUCAUCGAGUCUUUGAACGCACAUUGCGCCCCCUGGUAUUCCGGGGGGCAUGCCUGUCCGAGCGUCAUUGCUGCCCUCAAGCACGGCUUGUGUGUUGGGCCCCGUCCUCCGAUCCCGGGGACGGGCCCGAAAGGCAGCGGCGGCACCGCGUCCGGUCCUCGAGCGUAUGGGGCUUUGUCACCCGCUCUGUAGGCCCGGCCGGCGCUUGCCGAUCAACCCAAAUUUUUAUCCAGGUUGACCUCGGAUCAGGUAGGGAUACCCGCUGAACUUAAGCAUAUCAAUAAGCGGAGGA
RNAcentral lists this unclassified non-coding RNA (344 nucleotides) under soil metagenome. Its description in RNAcentral is "partial contains 5.8S ribosomal RNA, internal transcribed spacer 2, and large subunit ribosomal RNA". The stretch from base 1 to 119 matches the Rfam family "5.8S ribosomal RNA", at positions 35 to 154 of the family's 154-position model. The record is from RNAcentral.